RNAcentral lists this ribosomal RNA (468 nucleotides) under uncultured bacterium. RNAcentral describes it as "partial 16S ribosomal RNA". It matches the Rfam family "Bacterial small subunit ribosomal RNA", at positions 28 to 507 of the family's 1533-position model. The record is from RNAcentral.
GACGAACGCUGGCGGCGUGCUUAACACAUGCAAGUCGAACGGAAAGGCCCUGCUUUUGUGGGGUGCUCGAGUGGCGAACGGGUGAGUAACACGUGAGUAACCUGCCCUUGACUUUGGGAUAACUUCAUGAAACUGGGGCUAAUACCGGAUAGGAGCUCCUGCUGCAUGGUGGGGGUUGGAAAGUUUCGGCGGUUGGGGAUGGACUCGCGGCUUAUCAGCUUGUUGGUGGGGUAGUGGCUUACCAAGGCUUUGACGGGUAGCCGGCCUGAGAGGGUGACCGGCCACAUUGGGACUGAGAUGAGGCCCAGACUCAUCCGGGAGGCAGCAGUGGGGAAUAUUGCACAAUGGGCGGAAGCCUGAUGCAGCAACGCCGCGUGCGGGAUGACGGCCUUCGGGUUGUAAACCGCUUUCGCCUGUGACGAAGCGUGAGUGACGGUAAUGGGUAAAGAAGCACCGGCUAACUACGUG